Molecule: ribosomal RNA, 1372 nt
Filed under: uncultured bacterium
Lineage: Bacteria
Description: bacterial SSU rRNA
Rfam family: Bacterial small subunit ribosomal RNA
Source: RNAcentral
GAUGAACGCUGGCGGCGUGCCUAAUACAUGCAAGUCGAGCGAACAGACAAGGAGCUUGCUCCUUUGACGUUAGCGGCGGACGGGUGAGUGACACGUGGGUAACCUACCUAUAAGACUGGGAUAACUUCGGGAAACCGGAGCUAAUACCGGAUAAUAUUUCGAACCGCAUGGUUCGAUAGUGAAAGAUGGUUUUGCUAUCACUUAUAGAUGGACCCGCGCCGUAUUAGCUAGUUGGUAAGGUAACGGCUUACCAAGGCGACGAUACGUAGCCGACCUGAGAGGGUGAUCGGCCACACUGGAACUGAGACACGGUCCAGACUCCUACGGGAGGCAGCAGUAGGGAAUCUUCCGCAAUGGGCGAAAGCCUGACGGAGCAACGCCGCGUGAGUGAUGAAGGUCUUCGGAUCGUAAAACUCUGUUAUUAGGGAAGAACAUACGUGUAAGUAACUAUGCACGUCUUGACGGUACCUAAUCAGAAAGCCACGGCUAACUACGUGCCAGCAGCCGCGGUAAUACGUAGGUGGCAAGCGUUAUCCGGAAUUAUUGGGCGUAAAGCGCGCGUAGGCGGUUUUUUAAGUUUGAUGUGAAAGCCCACGGCUCAACCGUGGAGGGUCAUUGGAAACUGGAAAACUUGAGUGCAGAAGAGGAAAGUGGAAUUCCAUGUGUAGCGGUGAAAUGCGCAGAGAUAUGGAGGAACACCAGUGGCGAAGGCGACUUUCUGGUCUGUAACUGACGCUGAUGUGCGAAAGCGUGGGGAUCAAACAGGAUUAGAUACCCUGGUAGUCCACGCCGUAAACGAUGAGUGCUAAGUGUUAGGGGGUUUCCGCCCCUUAGUGCUGCAGCUAACGCAUUAAGCACUCCGCCUGGGGAGUACGACCGCAAGGUUGAAACUCAAAGGAAUUGACGGGGACCCGCACAAGCGGUGGAGCAUGUGGUUUAAUUCGAAGCAACGCGAAGAACCUUACCAAAUCUUGACAUCCUUUGACAACUCUAGAGAUAGAGCCUUCCCCUUCGGGGGACAAAGUGACAGGUGGUGCAUGGUUGUCGUCAGCUCGUGUCGUGAGAUGUUGGGUUAAGUCCCGCAACGAGCGCAACCCUUAAGUUUAGUUGCCAUCAUUAAGUUGGGCACUCUAAGUUGACUGCCGGUGACAAACCGGAGGAAGGUGGGGAUGACGUCAAAUCAUCAUGCCCCUUAUGAUUUGGGCUACACACGUGCUACAAUGGACAAUACAAAGGGCAGCGAAAUCGCGAGGUCAAGCAAAUCCCAUAAAGUUGUUCUCAGUUCGGAUUGUAGUCUGCAACUCGACCACAUGAAGCUGGAAUCGCUAGUAAUCGUAGAUCAGCAUGCUACGGUGAAUACGUUCCCGGGUCU